RNAcentral lists this ribosomal RNA (845 nucleotides) under proteobacterium Hj-5. Its description in RNAcentral is "bacterial SSU rRNA". It matches the Rfam family "Bacterial small subunit ribosomal RNA", at positions 54 to 891 of the family's 1533-position model. The record is from RNAcentral. Lineage: Bacteria; Pseudomonadati; Pseudomonadota.
CAUGCAAGUCGAGCGGGGAAAGGUAGCUUGCUACCUGACCUAGCGGCGGACGGGUGAGUAAUGCUUAGGAAUCUGCCUAUUAACGGGGGACAACAUCUCGAAAGGGAUGCUAAUACCGCAUACCUCCUACGGGAGAAAGCAGGGGACCUUCGGGCCUUGCGCUAAUAGAUGAGCCUAAGUCGGAUUACCUAGUUGGUGGGGUAAAGGCCUACCAAGGCGACGAUCUGUAGCGGGUCUGAGAGGAUGAUCCGCCACACUGGGACUGAGACACGGCCCACACUCCUACGGGAGGCAGCAGUGGGGAAUAUUGGACAAUGGGGGGAACCCUGAUCCACCCAUGCCGCGUGUGUGAAAAAGGCCUUUUGGUUGUAAAGCACUUUUAGCGAGGAGGAGGCUACCGAGAUUAAUACUCUUGGAUAGUGGACGUUACUCGCAGAAUAAGCACCGGCUAACUCUGUGCCAGCACCCGCGGUAAUACAGAGGGUGCAAGCGUUAAUCGGAUUUACUGGGCGUAAAGCGCGCGUAGGUGGCCCAUUAAGUCAAAUGUGAAAUCCCCGAGCUUAACUUGGGAAUUGCAUUCGAUACUGGUUGGCUAGAGUAUGGGAGAGGAUGGUAGAAUUCCAGGUGUACCGGUGAAAUGCCUAGAGAUCUGGAGGAAUACCGAUGCCGAAGGCACCCCUCUGGCCUAAUACUGACAUUGAAGUGCGAAUUCAUGGGCAGCAAACUGGAUUACAUACCCUGGUAGUCCAUGCCGAAAACCAUGUCAACCAGCUGCUGGGGCCCUUGAAAGCUUUUUUGACACACCUAAAGGGAUAUUCAAACCGCUUGGGGGAGUCCGAUCGCAA